GAUGAACGCUAGCGGCAGGCCUAAUACAUGCAAGUCGAACGGUAGAUCGGGUAGCAAUACUUGAUUGAGAGUGACGUAAGGGUGCGUAACACGUAUGCAAUCUACCCUCAACAGGAGUAUAGCUCGGGGAAACUCGGAUUAACACUCCAUAACAUUACGAUGUGGCAUCACAUUGUGAUUAAAACUCCGGUGGUUGAGGAUGAGCAUGCGUCUGAUUAGUUAGUUGGAGGUGUAACGGACCCCCAAGACGAUGAUCAGUAGGGGAACUGAGAGGUUGAUCCCCCACACUGGCACUGAGAUACGGGCCAGACUCCUACGGGAGGCAGCAGUGAGGAAUAUUGGACAAUGGGCGAGAGCCUGAUCCAGCCAUGCCGCGUGCAGGAAGACGGCCCUAUGGGUUGUAAACUGCUUUUGUACGGGAAGAAACACCCCCCUCGUGAGGGGGCUUGACGGUACCGUAAGAAUAAGGAUCGGCUAACUCCGUGCCAGCA
Molecule: ribosomal RNA, 491 nt
Filed under: uncultured bacterium
Lineage: Bacteria
Description: bacterial SSU rRNA
Rfam family: Bacterial small subunit ribosomal RNA
Source: RNAcentral